RNAcentral lists this ribosomal RNA (614 nucleotides) under Staphylococcus aureus. Its description in RNAcentral is "partial 23S ribosomal RNA". It matches the Rfam family "Bacterial large subunit ribosomal RNA", at positions 1450 to 2065 of the family's 2925-position model. The record is from RNAcentral. Lineage: Bacteria; Bacillati; Bacillota; Bacilli; Caryophanales; Staphylococcaceae.
GUUUUAAUCGAUGGGGGGACGCAGUAGGAUAGGCGAAGCGUGCGAUUGGAUUGCACGUCUAAGCAGUAAGGCUGAGUAUUAGGCAAAUCCGGUACUCGUUAAGGCUGAGCUGUGAUGGGGAGAAGACAUUGUGUCUUCGAGUCGUUGAUUUCACACUGCCGAGAAAAGCCUCUAGAUAGAAAAUAGGUGCCCGUACCGCAAACCGACACAGGUAGUCAAGAUGAGAAUUCUAAGGUGAGCGAGCGAACUCUCGUUAAGGAACUCGGCAAAAUGACCCCGUAACUUCGGGAGAAGGGGUGCUCUUUAGGGUUAACGCCCAGAAGAGCCGCAGUGAAUAGGCCCAAGCGACUGUUUAUCAAAAACACAGGUCUCUGCUAAACCGUAAGGUGAUGUAUAGGGGCUGACGCCUGCCCGGUGCUGGAAGGUUAAGAGGAGUGGUUAGCUUCUGCGAAGCUACGAAUCGAAGCCCCAGUAAACGGCGGCCGUAACUAUAACGGUCCUAAGGUAGCGAAAUUCCUUGUCGGGUAAGUUCCGACCCGCACGAAAGGCGUAACGAUUUGGGCACUGUCUCAACGAGAGACUCGGUGAAAUCAUAGUACCUGUGAAGAUGCAGG